Molecule: non-coding RNA, 2093 nt
Organism: Arachis ipaensis
Lineage: Eukaryota; Viridiplantae; Streptophyta; Magnoliopsida; Fabales; Fabaceae
Source: RefSeq, a predicted model, not a curated record
GCUCCAUGUGUUUUAAAUGAAAAAAAAAAAAACACAGAGUCUGUUGUGAAAGACUGAUGUGUCAAUUACUCUGUAGUAAGAUGGUUGUAAUAUUGGCUACUGCCACAUACCUUUUUGAGAAUGUAGUAUAUUUGGAUUCUUCUAUUUUUGAGUAAUGCUUCAAUUGCGAGAGUUUGCUCCCGGUAGAUAUUUUGACUUCUGCCAUUAAUUUGAAGAGUCAAGAUAAAAUUAAACAUAUCAGUUUCGUUCGUCCCAUUUUGGAUCUAUUUUAUAAGGUUUGACAACAUUUUAUAUUGGCCGUUGACUGUCUAAUACAAAGGUCUACCUUUAUCCAGGCUUGAGACGGGCUAUUUUACCCUUUUCCAGGUGAAGUUAUUAAAAGAAACCUAGACUUUUAAAGGCUCGAACGGAGAAGACUGUAGAUGCCCAAGUAAGGAGAGAGUAAAUGAAACGAAGGGUAGUUUAGUAACCAUAGGUAGAGGAAGACUUAGAAGAAGAAUCAUAGGUGAAGUUACUAAAAAGAAAGGGAAACUUGACUUAAUGCUUAAAUGCGAAUAACUGAAUAUGAUUCAUGAUCGAGCACUUUCGCCUGAUUAGGACAAGACUUCAUUGUUGUUGCUGUUCAUGAUGAGUUUGACUUGUAUGAGAUUCAAAGGAGCACAACAAGCAGCACUGGUGCUUAAUGCUUCUCGUCGAUUUCGUUACACCUUGGACUUGAAAAAACAAGAAGAGAAGACACAAAUAUUGAGAAAGAUUAGAGCUCAUGCACAAGCCAUUAGGGCAGCAUAUCUUUUCAAAACAGCCGGGGAUGGUCAAGUGAUUGAAACCACAAAGCCUCCUGCGGCCUCUGCUGGUGAAUUUCCAAUUGGACAAGAGCAACUUGCUUCAGUUUCAAGGGAGCAUGAUACCGUUGCUCUUCAGCAAUAUGGAGGGGUUGCUGGGAUAUUAAAUUUGUUGAAAACCAAUUUAGAGAAGGGGAUUCAUGGUGAUGAUGCUGACUUACGAAAACGAAGGAAUGCAUUUGGUUCCAAUGAUUAUCCUCGAAAGAAAGGAAGAAGUUUCUGGAUGUUUAUGUGGGAUGCUUGCAAGGAUCUGACUUUGAUUAUUUUAAUGGUAGCUGCAGCGGCUUCAUUGGCAUUGGGAUAAAAUCUGAGGGUAUUGAGGAUGGAUGGUAUGAUGGGGGAAGCAUUGCUUUUGCAGUUAUUCUUGUCAUUGUUGUCACAGCUAUAAGUGACUAUAAGCAGUCUCUUCAGUUUCGGAACCUGAAUGAAGAGAAGAGAAAUAUCCAUUUGGAGGUUUGUGUUCUCGUGUUUCGUUUUUUUUUUUCUUUUAUUUUUUGGUGUGUUAUACCCCUCAAUAUUGGUAACCAGGUCCCUGCUGAUGGAAUUUUGAUCACUGGUCACUCUCUUGCAAUUGAUGAAUCAAGUAUGACUGGGGAGAGCAAAAUUGUCCAUAAAGAUUCUAAGGACCCUUUUUUGAUGUCUGGGUGUAAAGUUGCAGAUGGCAGUGGUACUAUGCUGGUAACUGGUGUUGGUGUUAAUACUGGUUUAUUGUUCUGAUUGUGCUACUGGCCAGAUUUUUCUCCGGCAAUACCAGAGAUGCAAGUGGCAAUGUUCAAUUUAAAGCAGGGAAGACUAAAGUUGGUGAUGCUAUUGACGGGGCAAUUAAGACUACAGUUGGUGAUGCUAUUGACGGGGCAAUUAAGAUAGUAACUGUUGCGGUAUGUGCCUUGAUGAAGUCUAAAUUGUGGGAGAAGUCAUGAUGAUGCAAUCCAACAUACUUUUGUCUAUAUUUUAUAUAGUAUGAUUGUAACCAUUGAAUAUUUAGGUCACUAUUGUAGUGGUUGCAGUACCAGAAGGGCUCCCGUUAGCAGUUACCUUAAUUCCCUCUGACCUAGUACUUUUACUUCAUUCUGUUGCUUAGUCUUGGUUUUAGCUGACCUUUUUUAGUUAAAAACAGAAGGAACAGUUUAUAUUGUAUAGUCUGAAUGAUGUGUUACUGUUGGUGCCAGAAAAUGUGGUGGUAAAAUUUUGCUGUUAUGCUUGUAUCUCAUUAUAUUUUAUAAUUUUGAUCCCUUUAAAUUUUUUUUUGAA